GAUGAAGAACGCAGCGAAAUACGAUAAGUAAUGUGAAUUGCAGAAUUCAGUGAAUCAUCGAAUCUUUGAACGCACCUUGCACUCCUUGGUAUUCCGAGGAGUACGCCUGUUCGAGUGUUAUGAAGCUCUCAAAACGCAAUUGGCUUAAAACCUGAUUGUUGUUUUGGAUUUGAACUUUGCCGUGUUAUAACGGCUGGUUUUAAAAGUAUUAGCUGGUACUAGAACGAAUUGGUUCUACUCAACGUGAUAAUUAUCUGAUCGUUGAGGACAUUCCUUUCACGAGGAAUGGCCAUAGUAAAUUCAAUGGACUGCUUCUAAUCUGGCUUUAAUUCUUUAUCGGAUUAACCACUUUUCAAAUCUGACCUCGAAUCAGGUGGGACUACCCGCUGAACUUAAGCAUAUCAAUAAGCGGAGGA
This 416-nucleotide unclassified non-coding RNA is filed under the name soil metagenome. RNAcentral's name for it is "partial contains 5.8S ribosomal RNA, internal transcribed spacer 2, and large subunit ribosomal RNA". The stretch from base 1 to 120 matches the Rfam family "5.8S ribosomal RNA", at positions 35 to 154 of the family's 154-position model. The record is from RNAcentral.